CCCUGGCCCUGUCAGAAUCGAGUUACUACAGCCUGGACGAGAUUAUGGGCCGCACCGUCCAGGCUGUAAUAGAAAGGCUGAGUGCCGGG
Molecule: non-coding RNA, 89 nt
Organism: Bombyx mori (domestic silkworm)
Lineage: Eukaryota; Metazoa; Arthropoda; Insecta; Lepidoptera; Bombycidae
Source: RefSeq, marked provisional